RNAcentral lists this ribosomal RNA (301 nucleotides) under uncultured bacterium. RNAcentral's name for it is "partial 16S ribosomal RNA". It matches the Rfam family "Bacterial small subunit ribosomal RNA", at positions 509 to 807 of the family's 1533-position model. The record is from RNAcentral.
CAGCCGCCGCGGGAAUACGGAGGGAGCUAGCGUUGUUCGGAAUUACUGGGCGUAAAGCGCGCGUAGGCGGUUACUCAAGUCAGAGGUGAAAGCCCGGGGCUCAACCCCGGAACUGCCUUUGAAACUAGGUGACUAGAAUCUUGGAGAGGUCAGUGGAAUUCCGAGUGUAGAGGUGAAAUUCGUAGAUAUUCGGAAGAACACCAGUGGCGAAGGCGACUGACUGGACAAGUAUUGACGCUGAGGUGCGAAAGCGUGGGGAGCAAACAGGAUUAGAUACCCCAGUAGUCCCUGUCUCUUAUAC